CCUACGGGUGGCAGCAGUGAGGAAUAUUGGUCAAUGGCCGGGAGGCUGAACCAGCCAAGUCGCGUGAGGGAAGACGGCCCUACGGGUUGUAAACCUCUUUUGUCAGGGAGCAAGGUGUAGGUCGGGACCUGCUGUGAGAGUACCUGAAGAAACAGCAUCGGCUAACUCCGUGCCAGCAGCCGCGGUAAUACGGAGGAUGCGAGCGUUAUCCGGAUUUAUGGGGUUUAAAGGGUGCGCAGGCGGAGGCACAAGUCAGCGGUAAAAUCGUGGGGCACAAACCUGCUCCGCCGGUGAAACUGUGGGGCUUGAGGGCGCGAAGGGUAGGCGGAAUGCGUGGUGUAGCGGUGAAAUGCAGAGAUAUCACGCAGAACUCCGAUCGCGAAGGCAGCCUACCGGCGCGCAACUGACGCUCAUGCACGAAAGCGUGGGUAUCGAACAGGAUUAGAUACCCGAGUAGUC
RNAcentral lists this ribosomal RNA (459 nucleotides) under uncultured bacterium. RNAcentral's name for it is "partial 16S ribosomal RNA". It matches the Rfam family "Bacterial small subunit ribosomal RNA", at positions 338 to 795 of the family's 1533-position model. The record is from RNAcentral.